CUCCGGUUGAUCCUGCCGGACCCGACUGCUAUCAGAGUGGGACUAAGCCAUGCGAGUCAACAUAGCAAUAUGUGGCAUACGGCUCAGUAACACGUAGUCAACAUGCCCAGGGGACGUGGAUAACCUCGGGAAACUGAGGAUAAACCGCGAUAAGUCACUACUUCUGGAAUGGGUAAUGACUCAAAUCUACAUGGCCCCUGGAUUGGACUGCGGCCGAUCAGGCUGUUGGUGAGGUAAUGGCCCACCAAACCUGUAACCGGUACGGGCUCUGAGAGGAGGAGCCCGGAGAUGGGCACUGAGACAAGGGCCCAGGCCCUAUGGGGCGCAGCAGGCGCGAAACCUCUGCAAUAGGCGAAAGCCUGACAGGGUUACUCUGAGUGAUUUCCGUUAAGGAGAUCUUUUGGCACCUCUAAAAAUGGUGCAGAAUAAGGGGUGGGCAAGUCUGGUGUCAGCCGCCGCGGUAAUACCAGCACCCCGAGUGGUCGGGACGUUUAUUGGGCCUAAAGCAUCCGUAGCCGGUUCUACAAGUCUUCCGUUAAAUCCACCUGCUUAACAGAUGGGCUGCGGAAGAUACUAUAGAGCUAGGAGGCGGGAGAGGCAAGCGGUACUCGAUGGGUAGGGGUAAAAUCCGUUGAUCCAUUGAAGACCACCAGUGGCGAAGGCGGCUUGCCAGAACGCGCUCGACGGUGAGGGAUGAAAGCUGGGGGAGCAAACCGGAUUAGAUACCCGGGUAGUCCCAGCUGUAAACGAUGCGGACUCGGUGAUGAGUUGGCUUCUUGCCAACUCAGUGCCGCAGGGAAGCCGUUAAGUUUGCCGCCUGGGGAGUACGGUCGCAAGACUGAAACUUAAAGGAUUGCCGGGGGACCC
Molecule: ribosomal RNA, 867 nt
Filed under: uncultured archaeon
Lineage: Archaea
Description: bacterial SSU rRNA
Rfam family: Archaeal small subunit ribosomal RNA
Source: RNAcentral